GAUGAAGAACGUAGCGAAAUGCGAUAAGUAGUGUGAAUUGCAGAAUUCAGUGAAUCAUCGAAUCUUUGAACGCACAUUGCGCCCCUUGGUAUUCCAUGGGGCAUGCCUGUUCGAGCGUCAUUUGUACCUUCAAGCUUUGCUUGGUGUUGGGUGUUUGUCCAUUCUCUUGCAGAGGGACUCGCCUUAAAGUAAUUGGCAGCCAGUGUUUUGGUUUUGAAGCGCAGCACAAGUCGCGAUUCAACGCUAUACGCCAGCUUCCACAAGCCUUUUUCACUUUUGACCUCGGAUCAGGUAGGGAUACCCGCUGAACUUAAGCAUAUCAAAAGCGGAGGA
Molecule: unclassified non-coding RNA, 333 nt
Filed under: soil metagenome
Description: partial contains 5.8S ribosomal RNA, internal transcribed spacer 2, and large subunit ribosomal RNA
Rfam family: 5.8S ribosomal RNA (bases 1-120)
Source: RNAcentral